RNAcentral lists this ribosomal RNA (301 nucleotides) under uncultured bacterium. RNAcentral's name for it is "partial 16S ribosomal RNA". It matches the Rfam family "Bacterial small subunit ribosomal RNA", at positions 509 to 807 of the family's 1533-position model. The record is from RNAcentral.
CAGUAGCCGCGGUAAUACGAAGGGUGCAAGCGUUAAUCGGAAUUACUGGGCGUAAAGCGUGCGUAGGCGGUUUGUUAAGUCUGUUGUGAAAUCCCCGGGCUCAACCUGGGAAUGGCAAUGGAUACUGGCAAGCUAGAGUGUGUCAGAGGAUGGUGGAAUUCCCGGUGUAGCGGUGAAAUGCGUAGAGAUCGGGAGGAACAUCAGUGGCGAAGGCGGCCAUCUGGGACAACACUGACGCUGAGGCACGAAAGGGUGGGGAGCAAACAGGAUUAGAUACCCCAGUAGUCCCUGUCUCUUAUAC